RNAcentral lists this ribosomal RNA (566 nucleotides) under uncultured Methanomicrobiaceae archaeon. RNAcentral describes it as "bacterial SSU rRNA". It matches the Rfam family "Archaeal small subunit ribosomal RNA", at positions 450 to 1015 of the family's 1478-position model. The record is from RNAcentral. Lineage: Archaea; Methanobacteriati; Methanobacteriota; Methanomicrobia; Methanomicrobiales; Methanomicrobiaceae.
GACCGGUGCCAGCCGCCGCGGUAAUACCGGCGGCUCGAGUGGUGGCCACUAUUACUGGGCUUAAAGCGUUCGUAGCUGGUCUGUUAAGUCUCUGGGGAAAUCUACUGGCUUAACCAAUAGGCGUCUCAGGGAUACUGGCAGACUAGGGACCGGGAGAGGUGAGAGGUACUCCAGGGGUAGGAGUGAAAUCCUGUAAUCCUUGGGGGACCACCUGUGGCGAAGGCGUCUCACCAGAACGGCUCCGACAGUGAGGGACGAAAGCUGGGGGAGCAAACCGGAUUAGAUACCCGGGUAGUCCCAGCCGUAAACGAUGCGCGUUAGGUGUAUCGGUGACCACGAGUCACCGAGGUGCCGAAGAGAAAUCGUGAAACGUGCCGCCUGGGAAGUACGGUCGCAAGGCUGAAACUUAAAGGAAUUGGCGGGGGAGCACCACAACAGGUGGAGCCUGCGGUUUAAUCGGACUCAACGCCGGAAAUCUCACCGGAUAAGACAGCUGGAUGAUAGUCGGGCUGAAGACUCUACUUGACUAGCUGAGAGGAGGUGCAUGGCCGUCGUCAGUUCGUAUG